RNAcentral lists this ribosomal RNA (492 nucleotides) under uncultured bacterium. Its description in RNAcentral is "partial 16S ribosomal RNA". It matches the Rfam family "Bacterial small subunit ribosomal RNA", at positions 29 to 507 of the family's 1533-position model. The record is from RNAcentral.
AGUGAACGCUGGCGGUAGGCCUAACACAUGCAAGUCGAACGGUAGCACAGUAAGAGCUUGCUCUUACGGGUGGCGAGUGGCGGACGGGUGAGGAAUACAUCGGAAUCUACUUUUUCGUGGGGGAUAACGCAGGGAAACUUACGCUAAUACCGCAUACGACCUACGGGUGAAAGCAGGGGAUCUUCGGACCUUGCGCGAUUGAAUGAGCCGAUGUCGGAUUAGCUAGUUGGGGGGGUAAAGGCCCACCAAGGCGACGAUCCGUAGCUGGUCUGAGAGGAUGAUCAGCCACACUGGAACUGAGACACGGUCCAGACUCCUACGGGAGGCAGCAGUGGGGAAUAUUGGACAAUGGGCGCAAGCCUGAUCCAGCCAUGCCGCGUGGGUGAAGAAGGCCUUCGGGUUGUAAAGCCCUUUUGUUGGGAAAGAAAGGCAGCAAGUUAAUACCCCGCUGUUCUGACGGUACCCAAAGAAUAAGCACCGGCUAACUUCGUG